Molecule: long non-coding RNA, 201 nt
Filed under: Carica papaya (papaya)
Lineage: Eukaryota; Viridiplantae; Streptophyta; Magnoliopsida; Brassicales; Caricaceae
Description: long non-coding RNA (CPAP_LNC014542)
Source: RNAcentral
UGGGAGAUGGUGGACGGACCGGGUCCGUAGGGAACCCUACCGGGAUUGUGGUCUCCCAUACCGGACGGGGUAUGAAGAUCUUAUGUGUUUUGGCGCCCAUACCGGACGGGGUAUGGGGACGGCCCGUUUCACCCUCAUACCGGACGGGGUAAUGAGGUCUAUGGUUUGGCGCCCAUACCGGACGGGGUAUGGGGACGGCCC